RNAcentral lists this ribosomal RNA (399 nucleotides) under Triticum aestivum (bread wheat). RNAcentral describes it as "partial small subunit ribosomal RNA". Lineage: Eukaryota; Viridiplantae; Streptophyta; Magnoliopsida; Poales; Poaceae. The record is from RNAcentral.
AUGGAGGAGGAUAUUCCCUUCUGUACCUACAGCCUAACUUCACUGGCGGAUCUGCCAAGGCCCAGUGCGACGCCUACAUGGUUCAUUGAUGUCAUUGGUAGGAUAACCAUGGUCUCGGAUAUCAUCCUUAUCCAUCCAUGCAUCAUAGUGGCUUCGAAAACAAGGGCCAGGAGAUCCAGAUUACCAUGUGAUGGUGCUGUUGAAUUUGACGUAGACAUGGUCCAUGCAGUGUGUGAAAAGGAGCCUCUUAUUCCUAUAUUUGUAGGAACCUUACCCAAGACUGUUCAUUCUUUUUUAGAAAAGGAGGAUGACCCCCGGCCUCUGCAUCUGGGAGAUGCAUACGGCCACUUUAUUGAUUAUUCUCGAGGACCUUACAAAGUAUUACAACAAUGUGCCUGA